Molecule: non-coding RNA, 210 nt
Organism: Pelobates cultripes (western spadefoot toad)
Lineage: Eukaryota; Metazoa; Chordata; Amphibia; Anura; Pelobatidae
Source: the annotation of a GenBank genome assembly
AUCAUCUCGGAACAAACCGAAAUCUUUUGUUUCCGACCACGCCGCACCUCUUCUCGACCUCCACCUGCCCACCUUAAAUCCGCCCUUCGGUACGUGCAUCCGUACCUACAUCAUCUCCUCUGGAUGGAGUAAUAUUGAAGAGAGUGAAUGUGUCUUUCUUAGGGCCCAACAUUUUGUAAGGUUGUUUCUGCAGGAAGUGAUAUGGGCAGG